UCCGUACCGCCAUAUUUGUUUUCGUUCCUUGCAGAGAUAGAGAGAGGAAACCGUCAUAGGUUUUCUGCGAAAUUCCUUCCAACGGCUAGUUUUUUGGCCCUUCAAGACUACGCAUACGCGAGAGCAGAGAGGCUAGUGUUUGCUUCUUUGGAGUCGAAGCAGAAACAAGUCCAGAAUUUCUUCUCGAUUUUCCUUCACGCUCUAUGUUCAAUAAUAAUGCCGCGCCGUAACGGUAAUGGUUUCGCACACAUUGACGAGUAUUUUUAUGACGAAAAUAUGGAAAUCGCGUUAGAACAGUACCUAGCGGAGCAAGAGCCAAGCAGUUCUGGUUCCGAGUCCGAAUCAGAAGAGGAAGAAGGGGAGGAGGAGGAGGACGAAGAAGAAGAAGAAGUGGUAGAGUACGUUCCGGUUGAAAACUCAGCUAGGGUUUUGCACCCAGACCAUCCGGUGAGUAAUUUGAGCGAGGAAUCACGAGAGAAGCGGAGAAGAUUAGAUGGAGGAGGAGAUACGUGUUUGUCCAAUAGAGCCGAGGGCGGGGAGUGCUCUUCUCAAGAGUGGAAUCGAACCGAAAUUGAAGGGUUGUUUUGCCCGAUUUGCAUGGAAGCUUGGACCAGUGAAGGUGACCAUCACAUUUGUUGUCUUCCCUGUGGGCACCUUUAUGGUUUAUCGUGCAUCAAAAAAUGGUUACAACAAAGUCGAAUCUCAAGGAAGUGCCCUCAAUGCAAUAGGAAAUGUACAUUGAAUGAUGUUAGAAAGCUUUAUGCACCACGGAUUGCUGUUGUUGAUGAAGAGUCACAAAAGAGAAUAAAAUUUCUGGAGGCAAAAUGUGCUUCUCUUGAAAAGAAGGGUGCUGAUUGGCUUAAGAAAGAAGCUGAAUGGCAAAAGAAAGAAGCUGAAUUGCAGCUGAAAGUUAACCAGUUGAGAGAGAGAGCGACUUCUUUGGAGCAUUUUUCACGAGAUGCGCAGAGCAGGCAAUCUGGACUAGUAGCUGCUAAUGGUGGCUGUCAAGGACCAUAUGUAUCUGGAGGCUCAAAGUUCGGCCAACAAGGAUAUUCUUCUAGAUUUCUGUUACAGAGAGAGUUGCGGGUUGAUGGUGCUCGUUUGGUUGAUAUAGAUCCUUUGAGACAAAUAUUAUUAAUUGCGCGGAGGCAGACUGGGGUUGGUGGAACAUAUGUACUUACCAAAAUGAGCUUAAUACCUCCCCAUGAAAGUGAAGAUAUUGUACUUCCUUCUUGUACAAAAACCAUUAAGGACCUGAGGCUUUCUCCUUCUAGAAACGGGCUCGCACUUUAUGCUUCGUUGGGGAAGAAAUUAUCUGUUCUCAGCCUCGAAAGCAACAACGUUGCUCUUGCCUAUGAUCUGCCGGCUGCUGCUUGGUCAUGUUCAUGGGAUCUCAACAGUUCACAUUAUAUGUAUGCUGGACUACAGAAUGGCAUGCUUUUGGUGUUUGAUAUGCGCCAAACAGCAAGGCCUGUAGAAUCCAGAAGCGGUCUUUCUUCCAACCCCAUCCAUACCAUACAUUCUCUUAUGAAUAAUUCAGAAGAAGCUUGUAGUGAUGGCAUCAGAACUGUGUUAUCUGCUUCAUCCGUUGGCGUGUGCCAGUGGGACUUUGAUGGUGUUGAUGACAGGCCAUUUCUGGUUCCUGAUUUGAACAGUCAAGGAAUUUGCAUCUCUCUUGCCUGUUCUCCCAGCAGCAGCGACAUUGUUGCUUCAUAUCGUCCAAGAAUUGAACUGUCUGAUGAGAUGACUGUUUCUCAACCUUUACUCACACCUCUUACUAGUGGGCAAGGUAUACCAGGUUCUCAUGUUCAUUUGAAGAGAGCUGGUCGUAACUGUUAUCACAAAUUGGGUAUUGCGUGUGCCAAUGUAAAUAAUAUUCGACUGCCCAAAUCUACAAUCAUAGGCAUGGAGAAAACAAAUUCUUUGUUAGCAUCUGAGGAUGAUGUUACUGGGGAAUUAAUCUUGCAAGAGUUGCCAUCUUUUACAGUUUUUCAGCGCUUUAAACUACCCAAGCAUCCUAUUCAUGAUGUGAAGUACACGCAAGUGCUCAACCAAGGUUUACUGGGCUGCAUAAGCGAGGACACAUUGCAACUUUUCAGAUAUUGAUAUGUCAUGAGAAUAUAUGGCUUUCUAUUUACUGGCUAGUCUGGCUUACUACUUGGGAAAAUUUCAAUUACUGGAUUGAGUAUUAUUGUUUGGAGUGUGCACCAGAUGAGGUUAUCAAGCAAACUUGAAUUUGUUUCUACCUUUAAAGCAGCUCUAUUAUUUCUUAGAAAAAUGGCCAGCUAUUUUUAAAUGAUGACACAUCAAAAUUUUGAUCCUUUGCCCCUCUUUUUGGCAGGUGCUGUAUAGUUUGGGGACAUGUUUUUGCUGGUUAGUUGGCGUGUUAAUAGGCAAGACAGAGGAGCACUUGUAAGCUUCAGUUGCUCUCUCACAUAUCAAAGGCAAAGGUAGCUGCUAAUAUUAUACUUGAGCUGCAGCAUGUUGUCAUGUGUAGCAGUCCUUUUGAAUGUAAAUUAUUAUGCUGAUUGAUCAUCUUAAGGGACGAUACGGAGUGUUUUAAAGGUGAUCCGUACGUUUCAAA
This is an RNA transcript of Tripterygium wilfordii, 2584 nucleotides long. It is a transcript of the gene named E3 ubiquitin-protein ligase RFWD3, with no coding region annotated. The transcript has 16 exons. The record is from RefSeq and is a predicted model, not a curated record. NCBI's taxonomy places the organism in Eukaryota, Viridiplantae, Streptophyta, Magnoliopsida, Celastrales, Celastraceae.